AGGGGCUUGUGAUGAUCAUUAUAAUAAUUGCCUACAUUGAUUGAUUUUCAUAGUGAUGAAGAAAUAUAUGAAUCUGAGGCCUUG
Small nucleolar RNA from Amaranthus tricolor (Joseph's coat), 84 nucleotides. RefSeq annotates it as small nucleolar RNA SNORD34. The record is from RefSeq and is a predicted model, not a curated record. NCBI's taxonomy places the organism in Eukaryota, Viridiplantae, Streptophyta, Magnoliopsida, Caryophyllales, Amaranthaceae. The transcript has a single exon.